RNAcentral lists this transfer RNA (62 nucleotides) under Fulvia mutica. RNAcentral's name for it is "tRNA-Phe". Lineage: Eukaryota; Metazoa; Mollusca; Bivalvia; Cardiida; Cardiidae. The record is from RNAcentral.
CCCCCUAUAGCUUAUGUAAAGUGUUGCCUUGAAGCGGCAGAGAAGAGUUUUCUCUGGGGGGA